Molecule: ribosomal RNA, 253 nt
Filed under: uncultured bacterium
Lineage: Bacteria
Description: partial 16S ribosomal RNA
Rfam family: Bacterial small subunit ribosomal RNA
Source: RNAcentral
UACGGGGGGGGCAAGCGUUGUUCGGAAUUACUGGGCGUAAAGAGCGCGCAGGCGGUCGAUUAAGUCGAAUGUGAAAGCCCCCGGCUUAACUGGGGAGGGUCAUUCGAUACUGAUCGACUUGAAGGCAGGAGAGGGAAGCAGAAUUCCCGGUGUAGUGGUGAAAUGCGUAGAUAUCGGGAGGAAUACCAGUGGCGAAGGCGGCUUCCUGGCCUGUUCUUGACGCUGAGGCGCGAAAGCUGGGGGAGCAAACGGG